Molecule: microRNA precursor, 274 nt
Filed under: Prunus dulcis (almond)
Lineage: Eukaryota; Viridiplantae; Streptophyta; Magnoliopsida; Rosales; Rosaceae
Description: sRNA ncRNA
Source: RNAcentral
GAGAGAGAGAGAGAGAGAGAGAGAGAGAGAGAGAGAGAGAAAUGGAAACACAUGUUUCCAUUAUUAGAUAAUUUUGAGCUUGAAUUAAGAAACCUUACCAGCUUUCUGUGGGAGAGCAAUCCAAUUCCCACCAGUCCCUUGCUUCUCUAUGUACUCCUUCAGCUUCGAGUCUUCUUCUGGUGACCAUGGCCCCUUCUUCACAUUUGCCUUGUCACAACAAGGAGCCCUACCCAUCUCUCUCUCUCUCUCUCUCUCUCUCUCUCUCUCUCUCUCU